GAUCGGGGUUCCCGGUGUCCAGGGGCCUCGUGGAGAGCCAGGGGAGAAGGGAAAUAUAGGCCUAUCAGGACCUGAGGGACUAAAGGGAGAGGCUGGUGUUCAAGGGAUACAAGGGGUUGUCGGACCACGGG
Molecule: long non-coding RNA, 131 nt
Organism: Oncorhynchus keta (chum salmon)
Lineage: Eukaryota; Metazoa; Chordata; Actinopteri; Salmoniformes; Salmonidae
Exons: 3
Source: RefSeq, a predicted model, not a curated record